RNAcentral lists this long non-coding RNA (479 nucleotides) under Brassica rapa (field mustard). RNAcentral's name for it is "long non-coding RNA (BRAP_LNC001818)". The record is from RNAcentral. Lineage: Eukaryota; Viridiplantae; Streptophyta; Magnoliopsida; Brassicales; Brassicaceae.
CUUCAGGUAGGUUUAUGCCGUGUCUAUGCCUCAUACCUGAACAAAAUCCAUAGAUAUUGGCACCAAAAACUAUUAACUAAACUGAAAUUAGACAAUGUGUUGAUCAUAAUCGCUAAUAACAAAAUUUGUUUAGCAAACCUAACAUAUCAUAAGCCUUGGCUCUUCUCCAAAGACUUUUGCAUGCCUUAUUUACAGGAUUAUGAAAGCAAAAUGCGCGCGUGGCGUCCCUUAUAGCAACCAAAAGCUGUUGAAGGAAGGGGCUUUGAAAGGGCUUAGCAACCGAAAUAAUGGUGUGAAAUUGGAUAACUAUAUGGGCCUUUUUUUGUUGAGUCUAGAAUGGGCGUUUAUACAAGGACACUUAGCCCACGUAAUACCCACGGGAUACAAAUACGGACGUACUCGCGUAACGGCGAUUCAACUCGUUGAUCGAGGAGAUGCUGGUUCAGUGGUUUGUAAACAUAUAUUCUCGAAUAAUCUUG